This 540-nucleotide ribosomal RNA is filed under the name Enterobacter sp. HPC149. RNAcentral describes it as "bacterial SSU rRNA". It matches the Rfam family "Bacterial small subunit ribosomal RNA", at positions 934 to 1474 of the family's 1533-position model. The record is from RNAcentral. Lineage: Bacteria; Pseudomonadati; Pseudomonadota; Gammaproteobacteria; Enterobacterales; Enterobacteriaceae.
GGAGCAUGUGUUUUAUUUGAUGCAACGCGAAGAACCUUACCUACUCUUGACAUCCAGAGAACUUACCAGAGAUGGAUUGGUGCCUUCGGGAACUCUGAGACAGGUGCUGCAUGGCUGUCGUCAGCUCGUGUUGUGAAAUGUUGGGUUAAGUCCCGCAACGAGCGCAACCCUUAUCCUUUGUUGCCAGCGGUUAGGCCGGGAACUCAAAGGAGACUGCCAGUGAUAAACUGGAGGAAGGUGGGGAUGACGUCAAGUCAUCCAUGGCCCUUACGAGUAGGGCUACACACGUGCUACAAUGGCGCAUACAAAGAGAAGCGACCUCGCGAGAGCAAGCGGACCUCAUAAAGUGCGUCGUAGUCCGGAUUGGAGUCUGCAACUCGACUCCAUGAAGUCGGAAUCGCUAGUAAUCGUGGAUCAGAAUGCCACGGUGAAUACGUUCCCGGGCCUUGUACACACCGCCCGUCACACCAUGGGAGUGGGUUGCAAAAGAAGUAGGUAGCUUAACCUUCGGGAGGGCGCUUACCACUUUGUGAUUCAUGA